GAUGGAAUAAAGUUAAAUUCAAUAAAGACAAAUCGAUCAUGACUCUAAUGAUGAUCAUCUCUAUAUUAAACCUUUAAACUUGUAUGCAUACAUAAUUAACAUCAUAAUUAAAGUAUAUCAAGUUGAUUCAUGCAUUAACCACUAUGCGAAUAUAUAAAUCACGUGGAUUUGGUGGGAAAUAAUUUGUGAUUACUUGAUCAUGAUCAACUAGUUAUGUUCUCAUGGGUUAAAAGUGGGGUACUUUGAUCAUGAAAUGCUUGAAUAUAUUCAGUCCAAAAGAAGAAAGCAAUAAUGCUGAGUUCAUAAUGGAGGAGGUAAUGGGAGGGGGGGUCUGUUGUAUUCUUCCCCUCAAAGAAAAGGUAAAAAGAGAGAAAACAAAGGGAAAUAACUCAUUGGGUAUAUAAAAGAAGAGGAAAAGGGGUAAGAAGACAAAUAAAGUGCAAAGCCAAACUUGGAAGACAAGGUAGAAUCCUUGCCCAGCAUGCCUGCAUGUAACCCC
RNAcentral lists this long non-coding RNA (499 nucleotides) under Prunus persica (peach). RNAcentral's name for it is "long non-coding RNA (PPER_LNC005341)". The record is from RNAcentral. Lineage: Eukaryota; Viridiplantae; Streptophyta; Magnoliopsida; Rosales; Rosaceae.